AUGCGAGACGCGAGUCAUCUGGACUCGUCGAACUGCUCAGUAACACGUAGUUAACUUACCCUCAAGUGGAGGAUAAUCCUGGGAAACUGGGGCUAAUACUCCAUAGUUGUAUUGUGCUGGAAUGCUAUUACAACCAAAGCUCCGGCGCUUGAGGAUAGGACUGCGGCCUAUCAUGGCUGUUGUGAGUGUAAUGUACUCACAAACCUGUAACGGGUAGGGGUCAUGAAAGUGAGAGCCCCGAGAUGCUUUCUGAGACAUGAAAGCAGGUCCUACGGGACGCAGCAAGCGCGCAACCUUUCCAAUGGCUUAACGGUCGAGAAGGGAAUCCUGAGUGAUUAUACUAUGUAUAGUCUUUUGUUUUGUGUAAAAAGCAAGACGAAUAAGAGGUGGGUAAGACGGGUGGCAGCCGCCGCGGUAAUACCCGCGCCUCGAGUGGUGACCACUAUUAUUGGGUUUAAAGCGUCCGUAGCCGGUUUAGCAAGUUCUUGGUGAAAUCCAAUAGCUAACUAUUGGGCUUGCUGAGAAUACUACUAGACUUGAGAUUGGGAGAGGAUAGGGGUAUUCCAUGUGUAGGGGUUAAAUCCUUUAAUCCAUGGAGGACCACCGGUGGCGAAGGCGCCUAUCUGGAACAAGUCUGACGGUGAGGGACGAAAGCGUGGGGAGCAAAUGGGAUUAGAUACCCCAGUAGUCCACGCCGUAAACGAUGCCCGCUUGAUGUUGCAAACUUUACGAGAGUUUGCAGUGUCGGAGUGUAAAUGUUAAGCGGGCCACCUGGGGAGUACGGCCGCAAGGCUAAAACUUAAAGGAAUUGGCGGGAGAGCACCACAAGGGGUGAAGCCUGCGGUUUAAUUGGAGUCAACGCCGGAA
RNAcentral lists this ribosomal RNA (867 nucleotides) under uncultured euryarchaeote. RNAcentral describes it as "bacterial SSU rRNA". It matches the Rfam family "Archaeal small subunit ribosomal RNA", at positions 51 to 923 of the family's 1478-position model. Lineage: Archaea; Methanobacteriati; Methanobacteriota. The record is from RNAcentral.